CAACCCUCGAACCCCCUCCGGGGGGGUCGGCGUUGGGGAUCGGGCCCCCCUCACCGGGAGCCCGGCCCUGAAAUGCAGUGGCGGUCUCGCCGCAGCCUUCCCCUGCGCAGUAGUUUGCACAACUCGCACCGGGAGCGCGGCGCGUCCACGCCCGUAAAACACCCAACUCCUGAAAUG
Molecule: unclassified non-coding RNA, 177 nt
Filed under: uncultured Trichoderma
Lineage: Eukaryota; Fungi; Ascomycota; Sordariomycetes; Hypocreales; Hypocreaceae
Description: sequence contains ITS2
Source: RNAcentral